This 260-nucleotide ribosomal RNA is filed under the name Chloropicon laureae. RNAcentral's name for it is "partial 18S ribosomal RNA". It matches the Rfam family "Eukaryotic small subunit ribosomal RNA", at positions 627 to 895 of the family's 1831-position model. The record is from RNAcentral. Lineage: Eukaryota; Viridiplantae; Chlorophyta; Chloropicophyceae; Chloropicales; Chloropicaceae.
CUCGUAGUUGGAUUUCGGGUGUGAACGGCCGGUCCGUCUUUGAUGUGUANNGGUUGGUUGCGCCUUAUUGUCGAGGACAUGUUCUGGUUUUCAUUAGCUGGACAUGGAGUCGGCAGCGUUACUUUGAGAAAAUUAGAGUGUUCAAAGCAGGCUAUCGCUCUCACUACUACAGCAUGGAAUAACACGAUAGGACUCCGAGCCUAUUCUGUUGGUCUUCGGGACCGGAUUAAUGAUUAACAGGGACCUUUGGGGGCAUUCCU